This 89-nucleotide transfer RNA is filed under the name Candidatus Sumerlaeota bacterium. RNAcentral describes it as "tRNA-Leu". It matches the Rfam family "tRNA". Rfam says of the family: Transfer RNA (tRNA) molecules are approximately 80 nucleotides in length. Their secondary structure includes four short double-helical elements and three loops (D, anti-codon, and T loops). Further hydrogen bonds mediate the characteristic L-shaped molecular structure. tRNAs have two regions of fundamental functional importance: the anti-codon, which is responsible for specific mRNA codon recognition, and the 3' end, to which the tRNAs corresponding amino acid is attached (by aminoacyl-tRNA synthetases). tRNAs cope with the degeneracy of the genetic code in two manners: having more than one tRNA (with a specific anti-codon) for a particular amino acid; and 'wobble' base-pairing, i.e. permitting non-standard base-pairing at the 3rd anti-codon position. The record is from RNAcentral. Lineage: Bacteria; Candidatus Sumerlaeota.
GCGCGAGUGGUGGAAUUGGCAGACACGCCAGCUUGAGGGGCUGGUGGGCAUUAUCGCCCGUGGGGGUUCAAGUCCCCCCUCGCGCACCA